Suncus etruscus (white-toothed pygmy shrew) is the source of this 136-nucleotide small nucleolar RNA. RefSeq annotates it as small nucleolar RNA SNORA72. The transcript has a single exon. The record is from RefSeq and is a predicted model, not a curated record. NCBI's taxonomy places the organism in Eukaryota, Metazoa, Chordata, Mammalia, Eulipotyphla, Soricidae.
AUGUGAAUAUUUUCGCUGUUCUGAUUUUGUCAUAAUCAGGACAGGCUAAGCAUUCGCUAUAAUAAGACCAGGCAUGUGUCCCCAGGCCUAGUUCAUUACCCACCUAGGUCUGGUCUUAGUAAUGCUGGUGAGAAAU